UACGUAGGUGGCAAACGUUAUCCGGAUUUACUGGGUGUAAAGGGCGUGUAGGCGGGAAAGCAAGUCAGAUGUGAAAACCACGGGCUCAACCUGUGGCCUGCAUUUGAAACUGUUUUUCUUGAGUACUGGAGAGGCAGACGGAAUUCCUCGUGUAGCGGUGAAAUGCGUAGAUAUGAGGAGGAACACCAAUGGCGAAGGCGGUCUGCUGGACAGCAACUGACGCUGAGGCGCGAAAGCGUGGGGAGCAAACAGG
Molecule: ribosomal RNA, 253 nt
Filed under: uncultured bacterium
Lineage: Bacteria
Description: partial 16S ribosomal RNA
Rfam family: Bacterial small subunit ribosomal RNA
Source: RNAcentral